UACGUAGGGGGCGAGCGUUGUCCGAAGUUACUGGGCGUAAAGCGCGCGUAGGCGGCUAUUUAAGUCUGGGGUGAAAGGUUCAGCGCUCAACGCGAACAGUGCCUUGGAUACUGGAUGGCUUGAGUUCGGGAGAGGUGAGUGGAACUGCGAGUGUAGAGGUGAAAUUCGUAGAUAUUCGCAAGAACACCAGUGGCGAAGGCGGCUCACUGGCCCGAUACUGACGCUGAGGCACGAAAGCGUGGGGAGCAAACAGG
RNAcentral lists this ribosomal RNA (254 nucleotides) under uncultured bacterium. RNAcentral's name for it is "partial 16S ribosomal RNA". It matches the Rfam family "Bacterial small subunit ribosomal RNA", at positions 524 to 776 of the family's 1533-position model. The record is from RNAcentral.